This 253-nucleotide ribosomal RNA is filed under the name uncultured bacterium. RNAcentral's name for it is "partial 16S ribosomal RNA". It matches the Rfam family "Bacterial small subunit ribosomal RNA", at positions 524 to 776 of the family's 1533-position model. The record is from RNAcentral.
UACGGAGGAUGCAAGUGUUAUCCGGAAUCACUGGGCGUAAAGCGUCUGUAGGUGGUUCGAAAAGUCCACUGUUAAAAAUUGAGGCUUAACUUCAAAGAUGCCGUGGAAACUUUCAAACUAGAGUAUGGUAGGGGUAGAGGGAAUUUCCAGUGGAGCGGUGAAAUGCGUAGAUAUUGGAAAGACCACCGAUGGCGAAGGCGCUCUACUGGGCCACUACUGACACUGAGAGACGAAAGCUAGGGGAGCAAAUGGG